Macaca fascicularis (crab-eating macaque) is the source of this 1662-nucleotide long non-coding RNA. The record is from Ensembl. Lineage: Eukaryota; Metazoa; Chordata; Mammalia; Primates; Cercopithecidae.
UUUUUUUUUUUUUUUUUUUUAGUGUCAUUUAACUGAAUGUUAUAUCCAAUUUCACUGAUCACUUUGAGAGGCCAAAACAUGCUUUGAUUUGUUAUUUUGUGUUUGAGCUAGUUUAUUGCCUCACAGGAAUGCCAAGUAUUCUGUUGUCACACAUCAUUAAGUAUCUCAAAUUGUGUUACUAUAAUACUUAGCUGAAUUACCUCCCUUAUUUUGGCUUUUAAAAAUCUAAAAUCUGUGUGAAACACAGGAUGGUGCAUCUCCAUUGAGGGUUGUUGAGAAGUGUGACUUUUCCUGGCAUGCUUGAAAAUCAGUGACAUUAUUUUAUAGAAACACUUUGUAACUGACAGCAAAGCUUAGAAGCUCCUGUAAAGGGCAGAGUAGGCAACGUGUUAUGCUUUGAGGGCCACAGAAGUCUCUGCAUAUAUUUCUUUUGUGAAAACUUCAACGUGUAAAAAUCCCUGGCCAAGGCUCGGUCGGGGAUCAUGGUUUGCAGACCCUUAACAGCAGCUUAGCUGAAAGCUGGUCUCCCAUGCGGUGAGCAGGAGCCCACCUCAUUGCUUCAGCCAGGAAGAAGCUACCCUCAUGCUGGAAUUUACUUCAAAGAAACUUGAAAGCUCUGGCACCGCUGCUCAUUUCCAUACUGUUGCAGGCUAUCUAAAAUACGGAGGAUGCCGUGGCGUUUUGAUUUUGUUACUCCUCUUGAACGGCUCUGAGAUGGCUCAUCAUGAGUUAGACAUUUGCAGAAAUGAUCAAGCAGAGCUGCAGUCAUCUUGCAGAUCAAGUGAAGUUUUUUCUGAAAACUCGUUACAGGCUUAAAUUUCUGAUCCCAUUCCAUCCACUGAUCUUGUAUGAUUGGUUUCUUUUUGUACCCAUUUGGGUCUAUGAAGCGUCUCCCCACCGUGGUAGAAAUUUAGCUCUGAUUUUGUGCAUGAGUCGGUAUCCUCACUCCUCAUCUGUGAGGAGAAAGUGCUGCAGGUCUGUGUGGUUUCCAUCCCCUCCCUGCAGGCGGAUGGAUUGGGAGGUAUUUGUGGUGUGUGAACUUGCUACCCCCAGAGCCUUCUGCUUCAUUCCCUGGACCGCUUUCCUCCCUCCUCCCUCCUGACUCACUCCCCUGGACCACACUUCUCCCUCCUGGUUCACUCCUUGGGCCGAACUCCACCCUCCUCCCUCCUGGUUCACUGCCCUGGGCCCCCACGCCUCCCUCCUUGUUCACUCCCCUGAGCCCCCACGCCUCCCUCAUAGUUCACUCCCCUGAGCCCCCACUCCUCCCUCAUAGUUCACUCCCCAGGGCCCCCACUCCUCCCUACUCUCCUGGGCCACAUUCCUCCCUCCUGGUUCACUCCCCUGGGUCCCCAAUCCUCCCUCUUGGGGGCUUGGUAGUUUCUGAUGUGCUUGUGCCAGCACGAUAAGGCUGAGUGGCAGCUCCAGGGCUGCGGCUGCUCACGCAGCUGUGGCAUGAGUGCAGAGAACUGCGGGGAAUGCAGCUGCCCUUGCUGUGAUGCUUCAAGUGUCAUAGUCGAUAUGGGAAACUGGGUGGGAUGCGGAUGUCCCAGGAAGGGACAGGAGCCUCCCCUCAGCCUCUGUCAAACAGUUCUCAGCCAGGCGUGGUGGCUCACGCCUGUAAUCCCAGCACUUUGGGAGGCCGGGGCGGGCAGAUCACCU